GACGAACCGAGCGAACGUUGUUCGGAAUCACUGGGCUUAAAGGGCGCGUAGGCGGGUGCUCAAGUCCGUGGUGAAAUCCUCCGGCUCAACCGGAGAACUGCCUCGGAUACUGGGCGUCUCGAGUGUGGUAGGGGUAUGCGGAACUAUCGGUGGAGCGGUGAAAUGCGUUGAUAUCGAUAGGGACUCCGGUGGCGAAGGCGGCAUACUGGACCACCACUGACGCUGAUGCGCGAAAGCCAGGGGAGCAAACGGG
RNAcentral lists this ribosomal RNA (253 nucleotides) under uncultured bacterium. Its description in RNAcentral is "partial 16S ribosomal RNA". It matches the Rfam family "Bacterial small subunit ribosomal RNA", at positions 524 to 776 of the family's 1533-position model. The record is from RNAcentral.